RNAcentral lists this ribosomal RNA (254 nucleotides) under uncultured bacterium. RNAcentral's name for it is "partial 16S ribosomal RNA". It matches the Rfam family "Bacterial small subunit ribosomal RNA", at positions 524 to 776 of the family's 1533-position model. The record is from RNAcentral.
UACGGGGGGAGCAAGCGUUGUUCGGAUUUACUGGGCGUAAAGGGCGCGUAGGCGGUCAGCACAAGUCAGUUGUGAAAUCUCCGGGCUUAACCCGGAAAGGUCAACUGAUACUGUGCGACUAGAGUGCGGAAGGGGCAACUGGAAUUCUCGGUGUAGCGGUGAAAUGCGUAGAUAUCGAGAGGAACACCUGCGGCGAAGGCGGGUUGCUGGGCCGACACUGACACUGAAAAGCGAAAGCCAGGGGAGCAAACGGG